Molecule: ribosomal RNA, 253 nt
Filed under: uncultured bacterium
Lineage: Bacteria
Description: partial 16S ribosomal RNA
Rfam family: Bacterial small subunit ribosomal RNA
Source: RNAcentral
UACGGGGGGGGCAAGCGUUGUUCGGAAUUACUGGGCGUAAAGGGCUCGUAGGCGGCCAACUAAGUCCGACGUGAAAUCCCCAGGCUUAACCUGGGAACUGCGUCGGAUACUGGAUGGCUUGAAUUCGGGAGAGGGAUGCAGAAUUCCAGGUGUAGCGGUGAAAUGCGUAGAUAUCAGGAAGAACACCCGUGGCGAAAGCGGCUCUCUGGGACGGUACUGACGCUGAGACGCGAAGGCGUGGGGAGCGAACAGG